RNAcentral lists this ribosomal RNA (2427 nucleotides) under Shigella flexneri. RNAcentral describes it as "partial 23S ribosomal RNA". It matches the Rfam family "Bacterial large subunit ribosomal RNA", at positions 530 to 2925 of the family's 2925-position model. The record is from RNAcentral. Lineage: Bacteria; Pseudomonadati; Pseudomonadota; Gammaproteobacteria; Enterobacterales; Enterobacteriaceae.
CGAGGGGAGUGAAAAAGAACCUGAAACCGUGUACGUACAAGCAGUGGGAGCACGCUUAGGCGUGUGACUGCGUACCUUUUGUAUAAUGGGUCAGCGACUUAUAUUCUGUAGCAAGGUUAACCGAAUAGGGGAGCCGAAGGGAAACCGAGUCUUAACUGGGCGUUAAGUUGCAGGGUAUAGACCCGAAACCCGGUGAUCUAGCCAUGGGCAGGUUGAAGGUUGGGUAACACUAACUGGAGGACCGAACCGACUAAUGUUGAAAAAUUAGCGGAUGACUUGUGGCUGGGGGUGAAAGGCCAAUCAAACCGGGAGAUAGCUGGUUCUCCCCGAAAGCUAUUUAGGUAGCGCCUCGUGAAUUCAUCUCCGGGGGUAGAGCACUGUUUCGGCAAGGGGGUCAUCCCGACUUACCAACCCGAUGCAAACUGCGAAUACCGGAGAAUGUUAUCACGGGAGACACACGGCGGGUGCUAACGUCCGUCGUGAAGAGGGAAACAACCCAGACCGCCAGCUAAGGUCCCAAAGUCAUGGUUAAGUGGGAAACGAUGUGGGAAGGCCCAGACAGCCAGGAUGUUGGCUUAGAAGCAGCCAUCAUUUAAAGAAAGCGUAAUAGCUCACUGGUCGAGUCGGCCUGCGCGGAAGAUGUAACGGGGCUAAACCAUGCACCGAAGCUGCGGCAGCGACGCUUAUGCGUUGUUGGGUAGGGGAGCGUUCUGUAAGCCUGUGAAGGUGUGCUGUGAGGUAUGCUGGAGGUAUCAGAAGUGCGAAUGCUGACAUAAGUAACGAUAAAGCGGGUGAAAAGCCCGCUCGCCGGAAGACCAAGGGUUCCUGUCCAACGUUAAUCGGGGCAGGGUGAGUCGACCCCUAAGGCGAGGCCGAAAGGCGUAGUCGAUGGGAAACAGGUUAAUAUUCCUGUACUUGGUGUUACUGCGAAGGGGGGACGGAGAAGGCUAUGUUGGCCGGGCGACGGUUGUCCCGGUUUAAGCGUGUAGGCUGGUUUUCCAGGCAAAUCCGGAAAAUCAAGGCCGAGGCGUGAUGACGAGGCACUACGGUGCUGAAGCAACAAAUGCCCUGCUUCCAGGAAAAGCCUCUAAGCAUCAGGUAACAUCAAAUCGUACCCCAAACCGACACAGGUGGUCAGGUAGAGAAUACCAAGGCGCUUGAGAGAACUCGGGUGAAGGAACUAGGCAAAAUGGUGCCGUAACUUCGGGAGAAGGCACGCUGAUACGUAGGUGAAGCGACUUGCUCGUGGAGCUGAAAUCAGUCGAAGAUACCAGCUGGCUGCAACUGUUUAUUAAAAACACAGCACUGUGCAAACACGAAAGUGGACGUAUACGGUGUGACGCCUGCCCGGUGCCGGAAGGUUAAUUGAUGGGGUUAGCGCAAGCGAAGCUCUUGAUCGAAGCCCCGGUAAACGGCGGCCGUAACUAUAACGGUCCUAAGGUAGCGAAAUUCCUUGUCGGGUAAGUUCCGACCUGCACGAAUGGCGUAAUGAUGGCCAGGCUGUCUCCACCCGAGACUCAGUGAAAUUGAACUCGCUGUGAAGAUGCAGUGUACCCGCGGCAAGACGGAAAGACCCCGUGAACCUUUACUAUAGCUUGACACUGAACAUUGAGCCUUGAUGUGUAGGAUAGGUGGGAGGCUUUGAAGUGUGGACGCCAGUCUGCAUGGAGCCGACCUUGAAAUACCACCCUUUAAUGUUUGAUGUUCUAACGUGGACCCGUGAUCCGGGUUGCGGACAGUGUCUGGUGGGUAGUUUGACUGGGGCGGUCUCCUCCUAAAGAGUAACGGAGGAGCACGAAGGUUGGCUAAUCCUGGUCGGACAUCAGGAGGUUAGUGCAAUGGCAUAAGCCAGCUUGACUGCGAGCGUGACGGCGCGAGCAGGUGCGAAAGCAGGUCAUAGUGAUCCGGUGGUUCUGAAUGGAAGGGCCAUCGCUCAACGGAUAAAAGGUACUCCGGGGAUAACAGGCUGAUACCGCCCAAGAGUUCAUAUCGACGGCGGUGUUUGGCACCUCGAUGUCGGCUCAUCACAUCCUGGGGCUGAAGUAGGUCCCAAGGGUAUGGCUGUUCGCCAUUUAAAGUGGUACGCGAGCUGGGUUUAGAACGUCGUGAGACAGUUCGGUCCCUAUCUGCCGUGGGCGCUGGAGAACUGAGGGGGGCUGCUCCUAGUACGAGAGGACCGGAGUGGACGCAUCACUGGUGUUCGGGUUGUCAUGCCAAUGGCACUGCCCGGUAGCUAAAUGCGGAAGAGAUAAGUGCUGAAAGCAUCUAAGCACGAAACUUGCCCCGAGAUGAGUUCUCCCUGACCCUUUAAGGGUCCUGAAGGAACGUUGAAGACGACGACGUUGAUAGGCCGGGUGUGUAAGCGCAGCGAUGCGUUGAGCUAACCGGUACUAAUGAACCGUGAGGCUUAACCUUACAACGCCGAAG